RNAcentral lists this long non-coding RNA (1648 nucleotides) under Octopus bimaculoides (California two-spot octopus). RNAcentral's name for it is "zinc finger protein 271-like". Lineage: Eukaryota; Metazoa; Mollusca; Cephalopoda; Octopoda; Octopodidae. The record is from RNAcentral.
CCGAGUAAUGGAACUCACUCGCCGAGUAAUGGAACUCACUCGCCGAGUAAUGGAACUCACUCGCCGAGUAAUGGAACUCACUCGCCGAGUAAUGAAAUCGACUCACCGAGUGAAGAAAAACUUGAGAAAUCAACUAUAACAGUUUAUAUCGAUUAGAGACCACCAUUUGGAGAAUAUCAUUUUCAAAACCAAUGUGAAACGAACUUUAUUCCUUCAGGGAUAUCAGAUGACAUUGGCAUAAAAGAAUUCUUUCCUGCAGAUUGUAUCAUAUCUUUAAAGACUAAAGGAAGAUAUAGAGAAUUGUUGUAAUCUGUUUAUUAUAGAAAUAUUUCUUCUGAACCGAGGUUAUUUGCAGAUUUUCUCAAAUUCGUUUGGAGUGCAUAUUCAACAGUAGGUUGCAAUACAGUAUAGAUUGUACAGAAGAAAAACAUCCAUAAUUUGAAGACAUAUUACAGAAAAUGGAUUGUGUGAGACCAAAAAGCUGAUCUUAUGAGAUUGAUUUUUCUGGUGAGAAACUGAGAAAGAAAUCAAAGAAACAUCAUAUCACUGUGGCAUUACAAAAUGUCAGUCUCAAAAGUUAAACUGAUUAAAUAUAUUCAUUGGAAAAGGAAGCAAAACCACUGUAAUGUAUGUGAUAAAUAACUCUUUAGAAAUGAUGCUUUAGGCAUUCACAAACGUAUUCAUACAAGCAAAACACUGUAUCACUGUGAUGUCUGUGGAAACCAUUCUCUUUUCAAAAGAGCCUUUAAUAGGCAAAAACUUAUUCAUACAGGUGAGCAGCCAUAAAGUAGAUAGUUGUGGUAAAUCAUUCUCUCAAAGAUAUGCUUUAUGUAGGCACAAAUGUAUACAUACAAACAAGAAGCCAUAUCAAUGUCAUAUCUGUGGUAAAUCAUUCUACACUGAAAAUGCCUUAACUCAACACAAGUGUUUGCCGUAUCUCUGUGGAUUUGGCAGUAAGUUAUACUUUGCAAAUAAUUACUUAACUGGACACAGACAUGCUCCCGUCUUUGAUCAAGCUUUCCCAAUAUAAUCAUACUUUGAUUCCACCUGUAUAUAAUCAUACAGAUCAAUAAUUAUCAAUACUAAGUCAUUUACUUGUAAUUUUAUAUACAAUUUAUAAACAAUGAAAGCCUAAUAAAGAUAGUUCUUAAUAAUAAUUGGUAACAAUGUGACCUUGUUGCUAUUUGGAACUUCUUCAACAAAAUGAUCCUCUUACUGUGGGCUGAACCAUUCUAAAGACCCAUUGUAAUGUUACUUGUCCUAAACUGCCAUUCUACUUGUGAUGACAGCAUUCGAUGCCAUGGCUUGACCUUUUAGUGUUUAAGCCAGCUAUAUCUAGUCAAAAUACUUUACCUGUUUUAUCUUCAAGCUGGUCAGAUAUGGUCUUUCAUAGCUACCUUAUAUUGUCAUUUUUGAAAAAGUAAUCACAUCAUUGAAAUCUCAAAGCCAUCAAAUGAUGCCGGAUUAAUUUAAAAUGGUGUGAAUACAUAAUCUUUACAUUUGAUCGAAUAAUCAGAAUGCUGAAUGUUGGUAGAUCCACUUAUACUCUUCAAUCCUAACCCCUUGCUUGGAAAUAAAUCAAGGAAAUGUUGUUUUUUAUUAAAAAGGAGAAUACUAUGGAAAAUAAAACUUCCUUACCACUUUUCAA